CUCAUUUUCAGACAAAUAAAACCCCUCUCAAAAAUCCAAUUCGGUGCUAGCGCCAAAGCAAGUCGAAAGUAAAGAUUUGUUGGUUGAUUCUUCUCUUUCAUUUCCAGACAAAGGAAGCCCCUGCCCGUGACCCAUGUUGGUGCAAGCAAAAAAUCUCUACUUUCGACCUAGCGAUUGUGAAUUAGAUAAACACAUAGCAGCUUCGACUAUUUCUUCUCUCUCAUUUUCAGCCAAAAUAGACCGAUACGAGUUCAGAAUCUAGGUCGAAUUGAACGGAUUUAGAAGAGAAGCUCAGAAUAUCUGUUUACCCAUACAAGUUCGGUCUCUCUCUCUCUCUCUCUAUUUUUACUCACAUUUAUAUGAACUUUUAUUUUGAUUACAUUAUUGAUAAACAAUUUUCUAGUUAUGAUUUAGACAUUAAAUUUAGACAUUUUGAUUAUUGGAUUUUCCAGCUUUCGUGGUUUAGUAAUUUGGGACUCUUUUUUCAUUUGGUUUUCAAGGAUUAUGUGUUUUGCACCUUUCGGUGGUUUUAAAGUUUAAGACCAAUGAUUAUUUGAAUUAUUCAGAUUAUUACAAUAGUUUAAUUGUUAUGAAUUUAUGAUUGUUGAAAUAAUCUCAAAAAUAGUUUGAAUUUGCUGGUCAAAAAUUGUUGAAAGAAGACAUAAGACUAAAGAUAAUUUGGAUUUGUUCAUCGUGGUCACUUUUGCCUUAAAAAACAUAAACAGCUCAUCUGGAUUCUAAAAGACUUAAAAUACAUCUUUUCUGUUUGAUGAAAUGUCUAUGAAGGAUGUGGGUUCUUGGACUGCACUUGUAAUCCACACUGCUAACACUUUGUGGAUUCAUUAUUAAUUAGAAUUUUGUUUGAUCAAUUGCGUAGUACAUAAAUUCUCUGAUAAACAAAAGGCCAUCAAAUAUAUGUUUCACCAACACUCAUACCUUAAUCUUUGUCAAAUUUUCAUUACACCCUUCAACAUUUUCAUUACAUAUGUUAAAGUUCAUUUGUGUCAUUCCAAUUUGAUUUCUAUAUAACUACAAACAUAUAUACUGCUAAAGAUUAAUCGAAGCUUGGGAUUGUCCUUCAUCUAAAGAUUAUUAAAGUUGUAUGGACGCAAGUCUCAUUCUCCAGUAUACUGGGAUGAAGUGGGUGAAGCAACGUUGUUGGGACCAAAAUUGGUUUGCAUGACAACGAAAAAGAUUCAAAUGAUCCGACAACGUAUAAAGACCUCACAAGAUCGACAAAAGAGUUAUGCUGAUCUUCAUCGAAAAGAUGUGGAAUUCAAUGUUGGAGAUCAUGUGUUGUUACGUGUUGCUCCAUGGAAGGGAGUUACGAGAUUUGGGAAGAGAGGAAAGCUCAAUUCUCGAUUCAUUGGCCCAUUUGAAAUCCUCGAUCGAGUAGGAACUGUGGCCUAUAGACUCGCUUUACCGCCAAGUAUGUCUCGUGUUCAUAACAUUUUUCACAUAUCUAUGUUACGUAAAUAUGUGGAAGACCUGAACCACAUUAUUGAGUUAGAACUAGAUGAGAUAUCGGAAGAUUUAACGUAUGAAGAGGUACCUGUUAAAAUCUUGGAUAAGAAGGAACAUAUUCUACUCUCCAAGGUUAUACCUCAAGUCAAAAUUUUGUGGAGAAACCACGAUGUUGAGGAAAUGACCUAGGAGUUAGAAUCUAAAAUGAAAUCAAUGUAUCCUCACCUUUUCGACAUACCAGGUACAUACCCCAAUUUUGAGGACAAAAUUUCAUAAGAAGGGGAGGUUGUAAGACCCCAACUUUCAUAAAUAAUGAUUAAUUUUUUCGAAAUAUAUUUUUGAAUAUUAUGGUGUGGAUUUGAUAUAAUGUUAUAGUUGUGGGUAAUAUUUAUAAAUUUUGCAAAGUAAGCAAGUUGUUAUAAAAUAUUCGAUUGGUCGGGGAAUAUUUAUUUUAACAGAAAAUAUUCGUACGACGGCACAAUCAUUGGUGGACCCCACAAUGGAAUUAUUGUCGGAGUUAGAAAACGACAGAAAUACCUUUUUAUAAAGAUAACGGCGAAACUUUUACCGUUAACUGUUGAAAUACCCGGUGGUAAAUGUACAGGAAUACGCAUGGUUGCAUAGUAGUACACGGUAUUGAUUAUUGAUACUUACGUGAGAAGUCACUCAGUUAUACUCAAUUAUUGCCACAGUAAUUGCUGCAUAGUAUCUCACGUUAUUGAUUCAAUUAUUGUCACAAUAUUUUAUAUUAUUAAAUCAAUAAUUGAGACGACAAGUUAUUCAUAUUAUUAUUUGCAUUAUCGACCAUGUCUAGAAAGUUCUGUCGAGGAAAGGGGUUUGGUCACCUAAUUGCGCGCCAAUAGGGAGAAAUCCUUAUCGGAAAGCCCCAUCUUUCCUGGGAAUGAUAUGGUUGUUAAUAUUGCAAGUUAUAUUAUUGAUGAUUAAAUGUUGUUAAAAAUAUUGAGGAAAUUUUUAUGAAGUAUUUGUUAUAAAUUUUGCUUACUAUUUGGACCCCCACUUAUCCAUUUUUCAAAACUUUCGGUAGAAGUUAUCUCAGUUUUAUUAUAUAUAUAUGUAUAUAUAUAUAUAUAUAUUUCAAGUUCACGGGGGAGUGGGGGGAGUUACCUGAAUGGGAGGGAGUAGUUUUAUUAUUAUUAUUAUUAUUAUAAUAAGUUUUGUUUUAUAUAAAAAAUAGAAUAUAUUAUAUUUUAUUAUGCAUAGUGUUUGCAUAGUAAAAUCAGAAAAUUCAGCCGAAUCCGUGAAUCAGUUACUGUGCGUCCGUUAUUUUUUCCUUACUGUGCAUUAAAAUAGUAUCCUAUAAAUAGGAUGCUUAGUUUAGAAUUAAAAAUCACACCAGAAUCAGAGAAUUAUUCUUUUAUAAUAUUGAGUGUAUUUCUUUCGAGUUUUAGAAAGCUUUUAUUAUAGAAAAUAUUAUUUCUUCAAUAAUAUCCCCGCCCUACCAGUCGUGAUACUUUUCUUUAUAAGGUAAGGGAUAUUAUUUUUGUUCAAUAUUCGUAAGAAAUAAUAUUUCCUUCCAUACUCUGUAAUAUGUAAGUAAUAUUAUUUUGUUUCAGAUUCUGAAUUCUACACUCAUUUUGUUAAAUUAUUGCUUCUAUUGUAAGACCCCAAAUUUUAUGAAUAAGGAUUUAAUUUUUGAAAUAUUUUUUUAAUAUUAAGGUGUGGAUUUGAUAUAAUUUCAUAGUUGUGGGUAAUAUUUACAAAUUUUACAAAGUAUGCAAGUUGUUAUAAAAUAUUCGAUUGGUCGGGGAAUAUUCAUUUUAUCAGGGAAUAUUCGUACGACGGCACAACCAUUGGUGGACCCCACAACGGAAUUACUGUCGGAGUUAAAAAAUGACAGAAAUAUCUUUUUAUAAAAAUAUCGGCGAAAGUUUUACCGUUAGACUGUUAAAAUACCCGAUGGUAUAAGUAUUGUAAUACGCGUGAUUACAUAGUAGCACACGGUAUUGAUUAUUGAUGCUUACGUGAGAAGUCACUCAGUUUUAUUCAAUUAUUGCCACAGUAAUUGCUACACAACAUCUCUCAUAUUAUUGAUUCAAUUAUUAUCACAAUAUCAUCUGUAUAAUAUUUUAUAUUAUUAAAUCAAUAAUUGAGACGACAAAGUUAUUCAUAUUAUUAUUUGCAUUAUUGACGAUGUAUAGAAAGUUUUGUCGAGGAAAGGGGUUUGGUCACCUUAUUGUGCGCCAAUAGGGAGAAAUCCUUAUCAGAAAGCCCCCUAUUUCCUGGGAAUGAUCUGGUUGUUAAAUACUUUGAGUUAUAAUAUUAAUGAUGAAUAAGUUUGUGUUGAUUAAAGAUGAAAUUGAUAUUUCCAUUGUGUUGGGAUUAUUAGUGUUAGUGGAAAUCGACAUUUAUUUUGAUAAUAAUUAAUUUCUGGAUGUUCAAUUGACCAAUCGGGUAAUUAAUCGGAUAAAUGAGCAAUUAAUUACUAUUAGUUCACAUGCAUAUAACUAUUUGUUCACAUGAAUGAAACUAUUGAUUCACAUGAUGUAUUAUUAGGGGAGGUGGUGCAAGUUUGAUAAUACUUGUAGGACUAAAUUAAAAAUGGAAGAAAAGAUGAAGGUACUAUACUGUAAUAAUUUGAGCCCUAAAACAUGCAAUUAUCGAAACUAUAUUUUCAUAUAAAUAAAAGCUCAUUUUUCUUUCAUUCUCACCAAUUCACUAAGACUCACAAGAGCAAUUAUAGAGAGAGAAGCUAUCGAGAGAAAGAAUAAGAGUAUUCUGCUACUUCACUAUUUCAGUAUCCAGCCUUCUACUAGGGUAAGGGGUAUUAUAUCUUUCGUAUUCGUAAGGGAUGUUAUUUAUUUCUUUUUCGUAAGGGAUAUUAUUUUUGUUCAAUAUUCAUAUGUAAUAGUAUUUGCUUUCAUACUCUGUAGUAUGUGAGUAAUAUUAUUUCGUUUCGUAUCCCUAAUUCUACACUCAUUUUGUUGAAGUAUUGCUUCUAUACUCCAUGAAAUUAGUAGAAUAUCCUUGAAAUUUGCGCUUCAUCUAGUAUCGUUUCACGAGGAUAUUUUUUGAACAUUCUUGUUAAAUUUUAAAUUUUUCAUGCCAGAGUACUAUUCAGUGGUACUAUUCAUUUAUACUACACUAUUUAUACGUACAGUACUAUUCACAAAGUACUAUUUAUGGGCACUAUUCAUAAAUACAAAACUAUUCAUAAAUACGGUACUAUUCAUAAAGUACUAUUUAUAAAGUACUAUUCACGAAUUACUAUUCACAAAGUACUAUUCACAGGGUACUAUUCAUGAAGUACUAUUCACGGGGUUCUAUUCAAAAAGUACUAUUUCUGAAGUACUAUUCACGGGUACUAUUCACUCGGGUACUAUUCACCCAGGGUACUAUUCAUGACUAAAAUUGAUUUCUUUUCUGUCCAAAUUAUUUUUGAUAUAAUAUUAUUCUUGAAUUUUACUCCACAAAGCAGUAUCAUGUUGACAAAAUGGAUAUUAUUUAAUUCUAGAUAAAUUAAAUUAUAAAUCUUUAAAAUUUAUCCCUACUUUCAUUUAAUUGAAUUCUUAUAUCAUUGUCAUCAUCCUCAUGCUUAUAUUGGGUUAAAAGUCAUCUUUGGCUGUAGUGCAUAGAUGGACUGCUGAUCGGUAUGAUUAUGACCAGGGAUUAUUCGGUAUAAUUAUGACCCGUAAUGUUACAAAUGAUGCGGUAAAAGUCUUUACUGGCCCGUAGUGAAUUGAUCGACAGAUGUUGGUAUGAUCAUAACCAUGCGUUCUCUUCGGCCAAGGUGCAAAGAUGAAUUGUUGUUUGGCAUGAUCAUGACCAUUGGUGAAAACACGAAUUAUUCUUGGCCCGUAGUGCAUGGAUAAUUCGUGGUCGUGAUACUAAUGAAUAUCUUUGGCCCGUAGUGCAUGGAUAAUUCAGUGUUGUGGAUUAUUUAUUAUGCUGAGUCUCAGCGAUAAAAUUGAUGAUAAACUUUUAAAUCAUAGAAGAUAGUAGAUAUCAUGCUCUGCUUAACUCUUCUAAUGAAUUGCUUAUUCCGCUGCAGUUGUUGAUCUAAAACUUGUUGUCUAUUGUAUUCUAUCAGUUGUUAUACUGUUGAAGGCUAAUGAUAAUUUAUUCUGUAUUAUCUUAGUCAUAAUAUUUCUUACUGGGCUAGUUGAGCUCACCCUUUUCUUUCACUGUUCUCUUCAAGAAAUGAGAAUAUAGUUGGGACGAGUCGGCAAAUGGAGUGAUGGUCCAGGAUAAGUGGCUAUAGUAGUCCUCACUAUUCUGUGAAAUAGUAUGAUAAUAAUUGUAAUGAGAUUGAAUUUGAGUUUGGAUAUUGUCUAGAAGACAAUAUUCGUGUUAAAACUCUCAGCUACGCUCUUUUCGUAUUGUAUAAAAGAAGUUGUAGUUGUAUUCUGUACCAUGUAUUUGACGAUUCAGAAUGAGUGAUGUAUACCUAUUUUGGGGACACCACAUUUAUACUCCUUGAAAUUAGUAGAAUAUCCUUGAAAUUUGCGUAUCAUCUAGUAUCUUUUCACGGAAAUAUUAUUCUAAACAUUCUCGAUAAUUUUUAAUAUUUUCAUGUCUGGGUACUAUUCACGGGAUACUAUUCCCGAAGUACUAUUCAUGAGGUACUAUUCACUCAAGCACUAUUCACCCGGGGUACUAUUCAUGAUAAAAAUUGAUUUCUUUUUCGUCCAAAUCAUUUUUGAUACAAUAUUAUUCUUGAAUUUUACUCCACAAAGCAGUAUCAUGUUGACAAUUUGGACAUUAUUAUAUUCUGAAUAAAUUAAAUUAUAAAUCUUUAAAAUUUAUCCUUGCUCUCAUUUAAUUGAAUUCUUAUAUCAUUGUCAUCAUCCUUGUAACGAUCGAAAAAUUUGUAAUUUAAUUUAAAUAUUUAUUGAAUUAAAUAAAUAUUUUAAGUAAUUUAUUGAUUGAGGAAAAUAAAUAAUUGAUGAAUUGUGGUGAAUUAAUUUAGUAACUAAAUUAGUUAAUGUUAAUUAAAUUGAGUGUGGAUAAUUUUAUCUGAAGGAUUUAAUUUAAGGAAAUAAUUAAAUUAAAUCAAUUGCUUAAUAUUUAAGAAGAUAAUUAAAUGAAUUGUUUAAUUUAAAGGAAAUAAAUAAAUUAAACAAAGUGAUAUUUCUAAUUUAUUAAUUAAAUUAGAUAUAUAAUUAUUUAUUAUUCAUAAAAGUAAUUAUAAUAGAAAUUAUUUUAAUUACCAUUAUAAGUUAUUUAAAUUAAUUAAGCUAAAGUUAGUUAAUUAACUAGAGUGUGACACAUGAAACUAUAUAAUAUAAAUAAUAUAAAAAUAAUUUAGUUUAUGAGGUUGUUUGGUAGCCAAACAAGGCCUUGUGGCCUUUGGCUUAUUCAACUGACGCAAACUUAUUGUUUUGUUAACUGACGUACGUGGGAUUGUGGCCAAUUUAUAUUUCCUACGCGUCUUAUUUUUUCCCUAAGUCUAGUUAUCAGUGAAGAGCAUAGAGAGAGCUUGGAAGCAAGAGAGAAAACAUUGUGAUUGUGAGUUUCUAAGAUUGUCAGGAGGAAGAAGGAGAAUUUCUAAGCCCUAAUACUAUCUUUUGCUAGCAUUCAAUCAAGGGUUUAAGGUAUAAUCUACCCCUAAUUCUAAUUUGUAGUCUUGUAAUUUUUUAUUCUCUGAAGUUGGUUUUGUGGAAUUGUUGUACAAGAUAUUGUUGAUUAUAUAUAUGUAUACUCUUGGUAAAUUGGUUGGUUAUCACCUGUGAUUGUAUAUCCGUUAUCAAAUUCAUGUAAAUUGGGUGUAGGAAGAAAAAGGAAAAAUCAUAGUGUUUAUGUUCAUAUAAUAUGGUUUAGAAAGUACAAAAUUUCAUGCUUAAUGUUUGUUAGAAUCUAUAAUUUGAUGUUAGAAUAUGUUAGUAGGUUAAGAAACGAAAGCGGCGUAGUUUAAAUCAUGUCAAUUGAUUAAGAAACAAAUUCGUGGUAAUCGAAUUCGCUAAAAGUGUCAAAAUGGAAGAAAUUUGGAAAAUUAUAGUUUUGAUUCUUCAAAUUCGUGUAUAUGUGAUGUUUUUAUAUAUAGAAUGAUGAAUAGCAUGUGUAGCUAUGUUAGUAAAAAGUUUUAGAUGUUGAAGUUUUGUGAAUUACUGUAGAAUUGGGAUUUUUGGCGAGAGCAGAGUCUAAGUUCGCGUUCUGCAAAACUGAAACUGAUGCAUCACGCGGGCGUGCUGUCUGGUGUGUUGAUGUCGUGCGGGCGCGCUAUAUCGUGGCGCGGGCGCACUGCUUCCGCGUGGGCGCGCUGUAAUCCAAUGUAAAACUGGCUCGACCGCGCCAGUGGUCAGUCAGACCCAGUGCUGAGCUGUUAAUAGCAUAGCUUGGAAAUUGUUAACCUAACUUAUUUUAUGAUUGAAGAGGAACCUAAAAUGUGUUAUAAGAUAUAACAACAUGUUGUAAUCACAACGUUGAAAUUAUAGAUUAUGAAUUGGUAAGUUAUGUGAUGAACCAAAUGUGAUGUUUUCAAAAGUUAAAAAUAAAUGAUAAGGUUUAUGUUAGUUUGUAGUGAGAUUUCAGAUUCAUUAAGGAUGUUAACCAACAUGAUUAGAAAUUAGGAUAAAGUUAUGUUUUAAAUGGUGGGUUAAACCCAUAAAGCUAAUAUUAAUACAACUAAUUGUUAUUGCGAUUUCAAUGAUAUAUGUAGGGUAAUUGGCGA
This 8092-nucleotide long non-coding RNA is filed under the name Panax ginseng (ginseng). RNAcentral's name for it is "long non-coding RNA (PGIN_LNC005838)". Lineage: Eukaryota; Viridiplantae; Streptophyta; Magnoliopsida; Apiales; Araliaceae. The record is from RNAcentral.